Molecule: ribosomal RNA, 449 nt
Filed under: uncultured bacterium
Lineage: Bacteria
Description: partial 16S ribosomal RNA
Rfam family: Bacterial small subunit ribosomal RNA
Source: RNAcentral
AGCGAACGCUGGCGGCAGGCUUAACACAUGCAAGUCGAACGGGCACUUCGGUGCUAGUGGCAGACGGGUGAGUAACACGUGGGAACGUACCUUUCGGUUCGGAAUAAUACAGGGAAACUUGUACUAAUACCGGAUACGCCCUUCGGGGGAAAGAUUUAUCGCCGAUAGAUCGGCCCGCGUCUGAUUAGCUAGUUGGUGAGGUAAUGGCUCACCAAGGCGACGAUCAGUAGCUGGUCUGAGAGGAUGAUCAGCCACACUGGGACUGAGACACGGCCCAGACUCCUACGGGAGGCAGCAGUGGGGAAUAUUGGACAAUGGGCGAAAGCCUGAUCCAGCCAUGCCGCGUGAGUGAUGAAGGCCUUAGGGUUGUAGAGCUCUUUUGUCCGGGAAGAUAAUGACUGUACCGGAAGAAUAAGCCCCGGCUAACUUCGUGCCAGCAGCCGCGGUAA